This 3557-nucleotide unclassified non-coding RNA is filed under the name Dimorphilus gyrociliatus. RNAcentral describes it as "eTS domain-containing protein". The record is from RNAcentral. Lineage: Eukaryota; Metazoa; Annelida; Polychaeta; Dinophilidae.
UUAAUUUUUAUUAUUUUUCCUUUAUAUUGCUUUGCUUAAUACGUAAAUUGAUUUAAGACUGUUGCUGCCAUCUAUAGUGGUAAAUUUUUUAUAUCUAGACGCUUAUAAUAAAUAUGAUCAAAGGUUAAGAAUAAUAUAAAAAAACUGUUUCCAUCAAGACAAAAUAACAAUUGGUAUUUUGAUACAGUAAAGAUGUUAAUAGAUUUCCUUUCAUUUGUAAAUUCUUGUACUUGAAAAUUUUGUUGUAUAAACAAACCAGAUGGGAGACAAAAGUAAAAUGUUCUUUUAAGCCUGAAAUUAGAUGAUAUCAAUCGAUUACGUGAUAAGAUUAAGUAUCAUAAAAUGUUAGAUUUUAUAGCAUGUUCAAUAAUCUCUCAUUCAAAUUCACUGCGUCCAGAGAUAAAAUAUUAAACUGAUUGUUCAGUGAAGGAAAGCUCAAUGAACGACAAGGAAAAGAUUUUAAUGAAAUACCAUUUUAACUAACCAUUUGGGAAGAGGAAGAACUUUAUUGAUUUUUUUAUCUUUAUCAAAUAGAUCUAUUACAAUUGUAUAUAUCUCAUUAGUAUUGUACAUCUAAUUCAAUAUGAAAAUCUACUAUUCUGAACAUAUUAUCUCCCUAUUGCAGUGUCAAACUUUGACGAGAGCGAUUAUACACCCUUUGGCUCAACGAUGAGUAACGUGUCGAAUGAAUUUAUGGACGAACAUUUUUAUUCAAACUGUAGUAAGUUUCUUAUUAGUUUAAUUUCAUAAAUAGUUAGACAAGGAAGGAAAUAUUUAUACUUCCUCUUUUUAUUAUUUCCUACAUUGUGUCAUUUUAUUUAGCACACUCUUCCGAUACUAUGACCAAUUCAGGUUCGGACGACUCUUAUCAAGCUGUUGAGUGGAAGAACGUUAUACCAGAGAAAUGGGAUUGCGAACUCGUCCAGAACUAUAUUGCUCAUAUAUUGUAUCGAAAUGAAUUUGAUAAUGACAGGAUAGUCAUUACACAGGACAAAUUUCGUGAAUGUAACGGACAAAAGUUAAUGCGAAUGCAACAUCACGAUUUCAUACAACUUGAUCCAGACAGUGGUACAGUAAUAUACAGAGAAUUCCAGGAACUAAAUCGAAGUAUUCCGAAUUACCCACCUGACCCAGAUUCGAGUGACUAUCCGACUUCACAUUAUAUCCCUACAGCUCCUCAUACGAUCACGAAAACUGCAAGGAGCAAACGGGAGCCUGCAGCAAAAAAACCAAGAACUCCAAGCACAAGAGGUAGAAAACCAGGUCAACUGUCCAAAGGCAAUCAUCUUUGGGAGUUUUUGAGGGAUUUACUUAAUGAUGAUAGAUCUAACCCUCAUCUAUUAAAAUGGGUUAAUCGCGAAGAAGGUAUCUUUCGAAUAGUUAAAUCUGAGCAAGUUGCCAAAUUCUGGGGGGAUAAGAAGAAAAGACCAAAAAUGUCGUAUGAGAAGAUGAGUCGAGCUAUUAGGUUUUGUAGAGAUGUUGGUUAUUUUGGCGAAGUUCCAAAAAAUGUAGGACACCCCAAAAAAUUAAUAUUUAAAUUUGGCAAUAAGGCCCACGGCUGGGAUAAGAAAGAUCCUAAUGCUAACCUUGAUUUUCUGAAGAAUAUUUCAUACUAAUUUCACAAAACGCGAAUUGAAACUUAGCCAACUAUGUAAAUUAUCCUUCAUAUACUUUUUAAAAUAUUGAACUUGUUUAUGUUCCAUAAUUUUCCUAAAUUCUCACAAAUCAAUCUUGAAUUGUUAUAUUGAACUACAAUUUUGUUAAACUCAUUUAUUUCAACGCAAUUCUUAUCGCUAUAAAAUACAUUUACAUUCAUGUUUUUGUCGAGCUGAAGCCAAAUUUCUUCUGAAGGUUUUUUACGACGUUGUACAUCCUGAGUUAGAGCAAUUGACUUUCAGGCGUUUCCAAAGCUGUAAUUUUGGAGGAAUAUAGGAACAUUAUAAAAUGAAAUACUAAAUCCAAUAUCAUAACAGUGGAAUAACUACGUACAGCAUUACAAUGUCCGUUACUAUACCUUUGAAGAAAUCUGGAAUACGAAUUACAAUUGAAAAUACAUAUAUAUGUACAUACAUAUGAAGUAACCGUUUAUUAUUCGUUUUUCUUUUUUGUGUUAUAAAAUAAUAAUAUAAAAUAAAUCAAUUUUAACGAUUAUUUAAUUACGAUCCUCUUUGACUUUCUACUGUCGCUUCGUUCUUAAUACUAAGUAUAAGUAACACUAAUUGUCGAAUUGUAAAAACAUUCUAAACAAAGAGAAACCAUAAUUUCUAUCUAAUAUGGUAAAUUAUUAUGAAUGUUCAAAUUUUCAAAUCAAAAUAUUAGUGGGCUAUAAAGACGUUAACCGAUCUUUAAACGCCAAGCAAGUUACAGCUUUUUGAUGUCCAUCGUACUCUCUUCUGACUUUGCCUGUUUCUAAAUCCCAUACCCUUGCAAGAUUAUCGGAGGACGAAGUCAUCAAGUGUCUCGAAUCGCUGCUAAAGGCACAAUCCCAAACCCAUCUCUGGUUGGGAACAGCACAAAGGGUAGUAUACAGAGAAGAAUCUGAUGUUUUCCAAAUUUUUGCAGAGCCAUCGGCAGAGGUGGUGGCUAAAUAUUUUCCAUCUGGACUAUAUUUGCAUUUUAAAGCAUACUUCCUAUGAGCCUGUAUUUUUUUUUCUACAGCUAUUGUCUGAGUUUCUUCGUUAAUUGAAUUUUUUAAAGGCCUGGAACGUGUUCAAAAUUUUUGCAUGAACCAAAUUUUUAACUCAAUGAAAGCAUUAUUUUAAAAUGAGAUUAAAUGAAAUAUUUUAAAGAAAUAACAAAUAUUUUCUGAAACACGUUCCAGAUAUAUAGAUCACCCCUAUUGGUAACAGCAGAUAAGUUUGAACCCGUUACGUCAAUGGAAAGAUCUUGAAUAGAACACUCCUCUACAUUUCCAAUUUCUUCAUGGUAGUUUGCAGUUAAAUCCCAACAAUAUACUUUACCUUGUUGGCUGCCGAUGUACAGAACAGCUUGGUUCGGAUGCAAAACAGCUGCGUUUAUAUAGUUAUCGAUUCUGAAACAUUUUGCACAUUGCAGGCCUCGAGACCUUGAUCUAAAAUCCCAUACGCGAAUAAAACCAUCUUCUCCCGCAGAAUACAUCCACCGACUGUCUUGUUCAAAACCGACUGAUAAAACAUUUUUUUGAACACCAUUGCAACAUAUUAGGGGAUUUGAAUUCCCUGAUUUUGCAUCAUAAACGCGUAUGUUCUGGUAGCAACCAGCGGCCAACAGUUUACCAUCGUUUGUUAACUCCAAACAAUUAAUCUGUGUAUCACUUUGGCACUGUAUUGUUCGUUCACAAUAGCCUCGCUGGGCUUGCCAAAACUUGAUAGUAUGAUCAUAUCCUGAAGUAACAAAGAUUACUGUCUCAUCCCCUGAAUCAAGAGUUUCGUUCAUAUUUUAUAAAUGUCAAAGUGCAGUUGAUUAAGAAAAAUUAUAUUGCAAAAGACCAUAGAUGUUUUUCAUUCCUAAAGUAUAACAGUCGUCUAAUUUACUCUCAAAGAAGUUUCAUACUUAAAAUUAUCCGAACAAAAUUUGAA